This 555-nucleotide long non-coding RNA is filed under the name Anser brachyrhynchus (Pink-footed goose). RNAcentral describes it as "lncRNA (ENSABRG00000000199.1)". Lineage: Eukaryota; Metazoa; Chordata; Aves; Anseriformes; Anatidae. The record is from RNAcentral.
GAGGAAGCAGGGGGUAGGGGGCAAACACCUGAGAAAUCCCUCUUCAAUAGCAGUGAGUCCGCAUGGUUUUGAGUGAGUUGUCAUAUUUGUAAUGAUUCUGAACAGGUCACUCUGCUGUCCUUGUCCCUGCUGUGGGACGGGAGUUCCCUAAAUCUUUUCUUAAAGCUGGGAGAAAAUAGGUUGCCUAGGCCUGGGGUGAUCUGCUGAGAAAACCUUGAUGGGUUGCAGGUGGGAGCAGAUGUCUUCUUUCAUCAGGGCAUCUGCUGGCCCAGGAGCUCCCAAGGUGGUCAGAAGUGCUGAUGGGGAAGUUUGGACGUGAUUCAAGGGGAGCUCAGGGAGUUUCAGUCCAGGGAGAAAUCCAGCGCGAGGCAAGAUGCAAAAGCCAUCAGCGCCCCAGCCGCAGCAGUCUGCAAGGGGCAGGACAGCACCGUGCCAUGUAGCUCUGGGAUGGCUGUAAGCAAAGUUCAACAUCUGCUGAAGGAAUGCGCAGGUAAUUUAAGCACAGGGCUCUGUCCCCAGCUCCUGGCCACCCCAGCAGAGGUAGUCUGCUGGCUA